UUUCACAUUCAAAACGAGGCUUUUGCCAUAUUGUUAUUUCCAAGAGGAGAACACUCGACAUUUUCUCUUCCCGUCGUAGGUGUCAACCGAACCUGAGGAAAUUCCGACAUUUUGUAGAAUUAAAGCCAGUUUUUGCUGAAGUCUGUGUAAUCACCACAUGUUAGAGAGGACCAGAAUUUACCUCUGAUUCAAAUUGAUAUUACUGGCGUGACAUCAGUGACCUUAUUUACGUCACAACAGAGUGCAUUGUUUAUUGGAUGUGGGUGUCUUAGGGAAACAUUUUCGUGCCAAUCAUCAUUUGUGUGAUACAUCAUCAACAUCUGUGCACCAUAUUAUUGCAAUUCGUGUACUACGUCAUCACUGUCGUCAU
Long non-coding RNA from Mizuhopecten yessoensis (Yesso scallop), 370 nucleotides. RefSeq lists it as uncharacterized. The record is from RefSeq and is a predicted model, not a curated record. The transcript is spliced from 4 exons. NCBI's taxonomy places the organism in Eukaryota, Metazoa, Mollusca, Bivalvia, Pectinida, Pectinidae.